GUCGCAGGUGUUAUUAAAGUAACAGUUUAACAGUCAGUACAGUCGCAGGUGUUAUUAAAGUAACAGUUUAACAGUCAGUACAGUCGCAGGUGUUAUUAAAGUAACAGUUUAACAGUCAGUACAGUCGCAGGUGUUAUUAAAGUAACAGUUUAACAGUCAGUACAGUCGCAGGUGUUAUUAAAGUAACAGUUUAACAGUCAGUACAGUCGCAGGUGUUAUUAAAGUAACAGUUUAACAGUCAGUACAGUCGCAGGUGUUAUUAAAGUAACAGUUUAACAGUCAGUACAGUCGCAGGUGUUAUUAAAGUAACAGUUUAACAGUCAGUACAGUCGCAGGUGUUAUUAAAGUAACAGUUUAACAGUCAGUACAGUCGCAG
This is a long non-coding RNA of Myxocyprinus asiaticus (Chinese sucker), 376 nucleotides long. RefSeq lists it as uncharacterized. The transcript has 6 exons. NCBI's taxonomy places the organism in Eukaryota, Metazoa, Chordata, Actinopteri, Cypriniformes, Catostomidae. The record is from RefSeq and is a predicted model, not a curated record.